AGGGGUGUAGCUUAGUGGCAGAGCACUUGCCACUUAUCUAUUAUGAAAAGCCCUGGGUUUGAUUCCCAGCACCCUCA
RNAcentral lists this transfer RNA (77 nucleotides) under Ictidomys tridecemlineatus (thirteen-lined ground squirrel). RNAcentral describes it as "Spermophilus tridecemlineatus (thirteen-lined ground squirrel) tRNA". It matches the Rfam family "tRNA". From Rfam's summary of the family: Transfer RNA (tRNA) molecules are approximately 80 nucleotides in length. Their secondary structure includes four short double-helical elements and three loops (D, anti-codon, and T loops). The record is from Rfam by way of RNAcentral. Lineage: Eukaryota; Metazoa; Chordata; Mammalia; Rodentia; Sciuridae.